AUUGAACGCUGGCGGCAGGCUUAACACAUGCAAGUCGAGCGGGGUGAUGGUGCUUGCACUAUCACUUAGCGGCGGACGGGUGAGUAAUGCUUAGGAAUCUGCCUAUUAGUGGGGGACAACAUCUCGAAAGGGAUGCUAAUACCGCAUACGUCCUACGGGAGAGAGCAGGGGAUCACUUGUGACCUUGCGCUAAUAGAUGAGCCUAAGUCGGAUUAGCUAGUUGGUGGGGUAAAGGCCUACCAAGGCGACGAUCGGUAGCGGGUCUGAGAGGAUGAUCCGCCACACUGGGACUGAGACACGGCCCAGACUCCUACGGGAGGCAGCAGUGGGGAAUAUUGGACAAUGGGGGGAACCCUGAUUCAGCCAUGCCGCGUGUGUGAAGAAGGCCUUAUGGUUGUAAAGCACUUUAAGCGAGGAGGAGGCUCUUUUGGUUAAUACCCAAGAUGAGUGGACGUUACUCGCAGAAUAAGCACCGGCUAACUCUGUGCCAGCCGCCGCGGUAA
RNAcentral lists this ribosomal RNA (503 nucleotides) under uncultured bacterium. RNAcentral's name for it is "partial 16S ribosomal RNA". It matches the Rfam family "Bacterial small subunit ribosomal RNA", at positions 30 to 523 of the family's 1533-position model. The record is from RNAcentral.